GUGCUUGCUUCAGCAGCACAUACACUAAAAUUGGAAAGAUACAGAGAAGAUUGGCAUGGUUUCUGCCCAAGGAUGGCACGCAAAUCUGUGAAGUAUACCUUAUAGAA
Molecule: small nuclear RNA, 107 nt
Filed under: Castor canadensis (American beaver)
Lineage: Eukaryota; Metazoa; Chordata; Mammalia; Rodentia; Castoridae
Source: RNAcentral